This is a non-coding RNA of Mycena rebaudengoi, 94 nucleotides long. Lineage: Eukaryota; Fungi; Basidiomycota; Agaricomycetes; Agaricales; Mycenaceae. The record is from the annotation of a GenBank genome assembly.
GCCCUGGUAGAUUAAUGGAAAUCACCCACUAUGUAACCGAAAGAGCUAGGUCGGAUUGACGUGGGAGACGGAGGUUCGAAUCCUUCUCAGGGCA